CUCACACUGUUGAUUCCCCAUAGCUUCCAGAAGAAUCUUCCUCACUGAAUAGAGGCCAAAGUCCUUAGGUACUCAAGGCCUUCUGGGACUGGGCCAAAGCCUGCCUUUCUUACUGCAUCCCUCCCCAUGUCCCUUCAGUUCGCAUAUGUUCCUAUCAAAUGUGCCAUUUGCUUUUCUUUAUAAAUAGCCAUGACUUCCCGACACCUGCCUUUGCUCAUGUUCCAUUCUGUCUCCAUGCCUGGCUCCUUCCCUAACUCCCUCCCAGUCCACCCAUGUGGAGCCUCUCUCCUAGGCUUCUGCCAGGACUCCAUUUUUCUCUCUCUCUGAGGUAUAUCUUGCUGUCCUGACUUGCCUUCUCUACUGGGCUGUGAGUUUUCUGGACGGCAGGGACUUUUUAUUCUCUCCUCACCGUGUCUUGCAUGUCGUAGGCUCUCAAUAGACACAUGUGCCAUAGUUUAGAACAUGAGUGAGGCCUAACCGACCAGACGUCAGAUACUAAUGGGACUCAGACUUCAACUCGAUUUUGUCUGCUACAUGCAUGUUGGUGUGUGGACGUCUGAGCUUCUCCAUUAUGUUCACUGAGAAUUGCUGAACAUCUUCUUCCUUGGACUGUCGUCAUGAGACUGAGAUCAGCAGGAAGAAGACACGAAAGAAAAAUGGCAUGGACCUUCAUGUCCUUCAGAGUGACGGUGGGCUUGGGCCUUGCAAUGAGAACAAGUAUCACCCAGGAUGGAGAUCGGCCAGGGGCGGGGGUCAUGGGUGGGCUACAGGUACCUCCUACCACUGACAACAAGGAGGCAGAAUUUCCUUGGUCUAGACUAGAGUCUGGGUCAUGGGCAUGGCCGUGCUUGAGCUUCUGACCAGAAGCAGGUGGACAUGGAUUUGAGCUUCGUGUAAGAAUGGAGACUCCCCUCCAGGGACCAUAGGGGCUGGCAGCUGAAGAAGGUGACCUGGCCCCCGUCUAGAAGGUGAACACAGGGUAAACCCAAGCCCAUGAAGUGGAUGCAGCUGGGAAAAUCUGCCUGGUGCUUUCAAACCUCAACAUCAAACACUGCUCACACCUCAAACACUGCUCACACCAUGGUAAAAUCUAGUUGCAAAAUCUGUCCUGCAGCAGUUUUCUUUCCAGACGCUCAGGCCUCUCCUGGCAGCAGGCAGCUCUCCC
RNAcentral lists this long non-coding RNA (1165 nucleotides) under Callithrix jacchus (white-tufted-ear marmoset). RNAcentral describes it as "lncRNA (ENSCJAG00000061330.2)". The record is from RNAcentral. Lineage: Eukaryota; Metazoa; Chordata; Mammalia; Primates; Cebidae.